This 1633-nucleotide long non-coding RNA is filed under the name Zalophus californianus (California sea lion). RNAcentral's name for it is "lncRNA (ENSZCAG00015020131.1)". Lineage: Eukaryota; Metazoa; Chordata; Mammalia; Carnivora; Otariidae. The record is from RNAcentral.
AUCUAAUGGACUCCUCAGAAUUGGAGAACUGUAAAAUUCAAGAAAACAUGGGUUCACAGAGGUUAAGAAAUCUGACUAUAGCUAUACAGCUAGUAAAGUGACAAAGUCCUGAUUCUCUCCAAUCAGAACUCCUUCCAAGUCAAGAAGGCUUUACUAGUUAUACCAACAUAAUUUUUUUUCCCUAAUGCUAUUUCUUAUGUCCUUAGGACACAACUUCCCCUAGUUAAUCAAUCACAAGGUUUUUAUUUUUUAACUCUACAACACCCACUCUCCUGAAACUGUUCAGAAUGACAAACAUAACUCUAUCAAAUCUGGGAGGCGACUACUUUUUCCCCCCAGAGCAUUUCAUGUUUAUAUUACAUGACCUGUAGUUCAGAGGAAACUCACCAAGCUAAUAUGUUGUAGUACACUAUAGCUACUUAAUGUGAAGUGUCUAAGCAAUGGAAGCAGAGACAAAGUCUUGGAAGAUACAGAAUACAUGUUUAAUUUGCUUAGAACAAGUAUUUAUCCAAUAUCUAUCAUACGGAAGGCUCUGUGCUAUUAGCAAAAAGUCCCACUUAAUUUCAAGUUCUGUAAAUCUAACAGAAAUGAAGAAACACUAUGUUCACCCUUUUGCACUGAAACCCCCUCCCCCCAAAACUAAAACGCGCGCGCGCGCGCGCGCGCACGCACACACACACACACACACACACACACUCUCUCCCUCCCUCCAAAAUGUGGAAUCCCCACCCCCGACCGGGUUGAGGCACUAAAGAAAAUGUUUUCUCACAGACCAAUGGUACUGUAAUUGUUGUGCUUAAGAAACCACGUGGAUCUCUACCACAUAACUGAAGAACUGAUGGAAACCGGAGACAUGAAGAUGUCUAAUCAACUGGCUUGUUUUAUAGGCAUUAGGGGCAUCUUAUUUCAAGAAGAAACCCAUCCUGAUGCAAUUUAAAUCCAUCUUGUCUUGUUUAAGCUUCAAAAAAGAGAAAACUGUACCAGGUUUCCUCUGAAUAUUUCUUGACUUGUUUUUCUCCAUCUGUAUUCAGUCACCAUCUUUCCAUGAUCCCACUGGCUGUGUUUCAUGCUACUUACGGCAUGGGAAGAGCUUAUAAAACUCAUAUUGUUAGAAAUAAAAGAAAUCCUUUAACAAUUGCCAUAGUCUUUUUUUUUUUUUAAUAAUUGGGUAAGCUUUGGGGCACUUGGGUGGCUCAGAUGGUUAAGCAUCUGCCUUCGGCUCAGGUCAUGAUCUCUGGGUCCUGGGAUCAAGCCCCACGUCGGGCUCCCUGCUUAGCUGGGAGCCUGCUUUUCCCUCUCCCUCUGUUUGCUGCUCCCCCUGCUUGUGUGUUCUCUCUCUCUCUCAAAUGAAUAAAUAAACUCUUUUAAAAAAAAUAAUUGGGUAAGUUUUUCCUUGCCUCAUAAGAAUUUAAGAAGGGCUAUCUUUCCCAUUAAGAUAGCCUUUUAAAGCACUCCUAUUUUAUCAAAGCAUCAUUAUGAUCUCUUCUGCAAAAGCAUUUGGAAAUUAUUGAAAUUCUUGGACGUUUUGGUUGAGGAUAUAUAUUAAUCAUAGUUGUUUUCUUUGCAUUGAACCCCAUGGUUUGUUUUACAGAGGAUAAGUAACAACAUGUCAACCAGGAAAAUUAAUUCCAGG